Molecule: ribosomal RNA, 404 nt
Filed under: Pseudoalteromonas rubra
Lineage: Bacteria; Pseudomonadati; Pseudomonadota; Gammaproteobacteria; Alteromonadales; Pseudoalteromonadaceae
Description: partial 23S ribosomal RNA
Rfam family: Bacterial large subunit ribosomal RNA
Source: RNAcentral
CGAUAGUGAACCAGUACCGUGAGGGAAAGGCGAAAAGAACCCCUGUGAGGGGAGUGAAAUAGAACCUGAAACCGUGUACGUACAAGCAGUAGGAGCCCAUCACUAAGUUACUUUGGUGAACUCCUAAGUAAGCACAAUGUUUGAAUUAGCGUUAACGUCGACCUAACUUUUUAGCCGACGGUCAACCGCCAAAAUCAAGCAGAGGUAGCUUAGUGAUGGGUGACUGCGUACCUUUUGUAUAAUGGGUCAGCGACUUAUAUUCUGUAGCAAGGUUAACCAUUUAGGGGAGCCGUAGCGAAAGCGAGUCUUAACUGGGCGCUUAAGUUGCAGGGUAUAGACCCGAAACCCGGUGAUCUAGACAUGGGCAGGUAGAAGGUCAGGUAACACUUACUCGAGGACCGCAC